This 65-nucleotide transfer RNA is filed under the name Dreissena polymorpha. RNAcentral's name for it is "tRNA-Ser". Lineage: Eukaryota; Metazoa; Mollusca; Bivalvia; Myida; Dreissenidae. The record is from RNAcentral.
GGUGCGGUGGUCGAGUGGUAUCACACUGGUCUACUAUUCCAGAGGUCCCCGGUCCGGGCGCACUG